AACUAAACAGGAUUCCCUUAGUAAUGGCGAACGAACAGGGAUCAGCUUGGGUUGGAAACCGGGGCUUCUGCCUUGGAUUGUGGCCUUUAGACAUACUACCAACGGCGGCGCGAGCGUAAGCCUCUUGGAACAGAGCGUCUACGUGGGUGAGAAUCCUGUGUUUCGCUUGAUGCCCGCCGUGCACGGUACUUGCUCUCAGAGUCACGCUCCUCGGAAUUGGAGCGUAAAUUGGGUGGUAAAUUUCAUCUAAAGCUAAAUACAGGCUCGAGACCGAUAGCAAACAAGUACCAUGAGGGAAAGAUGAAAAGGACUUUGAAAAGAGAGUUAAAAGUGCUUGAAAUCGCUGAACUGGAAGCGAAUGGAACUAGUGCUCUGGUUGAGAUUGCUG
This 388-nucleotide ribosomal RNA is filed under the name Symbiodinium sp. clade A. RNAcentral describes it as "partial Eukaryotic large subunit ribosomal RNA". It matches the Rfam family "Eukaryotic large subunit ribosomal RNA", at positions 63 to 452 of the family's 3401-position model. Lineage: Eukaryota; Dinophyceae; Suessiales; Symbiodiniaceae. The record is from RNAcentral.